CAGGGCCAGUCUGCUUCGAGCCGCCGAAGGGAGAGGAACGCUGGUGUCCUCUCCUUCGUGAAACUUGGAUUGAAAGUUAGAUGGUUCGGUUUUCGGCGUCAGAACUUGAAGCGGGAGUGAGGGAAAUGGUAGAGGGGAGUGAGGAAUGCUGUAUCUGACACCUGCUGUGGGAAUGUGAGCGGAUUUUGUGGUAGAGACUGUGGAGGACAAAGUUUUAGGUAAAUCUUCUGAGCGACUUGGGAGCGAUAGAGGAUUAGAAAAAAAAAAGAUAUUUGCGAUGACGAAACGAAGAAAUUGGAAAAGGAACAGCGAGUAAGUGAAAAAAAAGCAUCAGAGAGAGAGAGAGAGAGAGAGAGGGCCAGCUGGAGAAAUGAAGGGAAAGUGGCGCCUCUUGUGGUCAAGCUUAUUACUACUGCUGAUUCGAAGCUCCGCGCUUCUCUCGGACCCCAACGCUUCGAACCACGGCGAGGAGGGGUCCAUGGUGGUGGUAGCGGCGCGACGCGGAGCAACAGCCUACCUGCCUUGCGCCAUUACCUCCGGCCAUCCCUUCGAGCCCCCCUUGCUGGUGCUAUGGUACAGGGACUCCUCCGUCACUCCCGCCUACAGCUACGAUUCUCGCCCCACCCACAACACCACCACCGCAGUCGAGGGGCGGCAGUGGGCGGACGAGAGGGCGUGGGGCGGGGCGGGUCGGGCAUGGCUCAACACUACCGCCUCCUCCGCCCACCUGGUGAUCGUGGGCGUGCAUGGGCGGGACGAGGGCGUGUAUAGAUGUGUGGUGCACUUCCGCGCUGCGCCUUCCUGGAGUCAGCGUGUUGCUCUUAGUGUUGUGGACCCUUCAGGAUACCCAAGGCUGCAGGACGACUCUGGACGCCGCUUGGAGGGUCCGGUUGGUCCCUACGAGGAAGGAGACUCUGUGAGGAUGGUGUGCGAGGCCGCUGGGGAACCUCCCCCUCGCCUUGUAUGGGGCGGGGUAGCAGGGAAUUGGAAGGAGUCUAAGUCAUUGGUCAGAGGGCGGGUGUCCAGAACAGAGGUUAGUUUCGUGGUGACCCGUGACCUCCUCCACACUUCCGUCACCUGCUCCUCCUUCAACGCCUCCUCCUUCCACGAUGGUGACGAUGAUGGCAGUGGUGGUGACGGCCACCAUCUUUUCACUGUUACUGCUCUUCUGAAGCUUAACUUGGCGCCCCUGGAGGUGAGGCUGGAGGCGCCGGGGGAGUGGGUGACAGCAGGCCAGGUGACUUCCUUCAGGUGUGUGGUGGUGGGCUCCUCUCCGCCUCCAGUUUUCCAGUGGAGGUUGAAUGAACGCUAUCUGGACACACACACUUCGCACCUUCAGGAGCGGGGCAAUGUGAGUGUCAGUACGCUGAGGGUGAUGCCGCAGUAUACUGAUGACGGGGAGGUGUUGGAAUGCCGAGCGUACAGUCCUACCUUGCCCUCUUACGCUCUACAGCACACCCUCUGCCUCUCUGUCCAUUUCGUGCCCGUGGUCACCUUGAGUGCGCCGGGAAAUAAAGGAGAGUCUGCCGCGGUGCCCCAGGGAAGCUCCGUCACCCUCUCCUGUCACCUCGAGGCCAACCCACCUGCCUUCAGUGUCGCCUGGUUCCAUAAUGGUCGGCCGGUGCGUCAGUCCCAGGAGGGCGUCACUUCUAACGUCACCCUGCGCCUCGGUAACGUGACGGCGCCUGACGGGGGCUUGUACACCUGCGUGGGAAGCAACGUGGAGGGGGACGGCCAGAGCAACGCCCUUCAUCUGGCCGUGUUGUUCAGGCCGGUGUGUGCCUCAGAUUCAGCCUCUCAGCAGUACGAGGUGGAGGAGGGCGGUGCCGUGACUCUGAGGUGCCGCGUGGAGGCCCUGCCAGCGCCCCUCACCUUCACUUGGGCCCUUAGGAACGCCACAGACGGUUCCCUCACUCGCCUCCUGACGGCGCGGCGGGGGGAGGGCCUAACGGGGCGCUACACACUACGGAGCGUGGCGGGGCAGCUGGAGGUGUGGUGCUGGGCAAAAAACAUCGUGGGCACGCAGCACACACCCUGCAUACUCACCGUUCGCACCUACAGAGCUCUCGGUGACCUGCGGGGCUGCAGCGUUACUGAACACACCACCUCCGGGUUCACAGUGGCGUGCAGCGAGGUGGUGUCUGCGUCUGGUGUCUUGUAUAGUCUAUCAGUGUAUACAAAGGAGAGGAGACGAAGUAACGGAAGGAAGAAGAGUGAGAGGGAUAACUGGAUAAAGAAGACAAAGGAUGACGAAGAACAAGAAGAGGAAGAGGAGGAGGAGGAGGAGGAGGAGGAGGAGGAGAGGAGGAGGAGGAGGAGGACAUUUGCAUCUUGUUAAUGAUUUAGUGAAGAAUCUUACUGCUCAUCUUCCGUUUUUCCAUGUGGGUGGUCUGCGGGCGGGUUGGCAGUUUGUGGUGGAGGUGAGGGCGUGGAGUGAGGGUGUUACCAGUCCGCCCACUGUCCUUAGCGCCCACACCUUGAAAGACGCCAGUACGCACCCACAGAAGCAAAUCGUAGCCCUAAAACACCCUGGAAACACUACUGACGGAGGCACUGAAGGAGGGAAGGUCGCCGGUACAGAAGGUGACACGUGGCAAGGAAUUGAGGACACCUGGGUUUUCGAGAGCACAGGAACUUUCAAACUGGUCGUCUUUGUUAUGUUUCUAGGUGCUAUUUUAGUCCUUACUGCCUUAGCCACCUGUGCUGUGAGGAGGAGGAGGGAUUUACCUCUGCGUCAGCGCCCCCGCAGGAGAAGGAGGAGCAGGAGGCGGACAAUGCCAGGGAAGGAGGGAGUGAUGCUAUUUUCUACAUCCACCUCCGUCAGAAGUCAGUCGGCUAUCUGCCCGCGAGGGUCUCCUUAAUGGCGACUCACGGAGAGAGUGACGAUGCAGUACCGAGGAAGACAUUCGGGCGAGAGAAGGAGAGGCGAGGCGGUCUGGUCAGCGGGGCGGCGGACAACACUCAAGGCUGCUCGCUGUGUACUGAACUGUGACUAUUCGAGGAACUGACGGCUACGCUGAAGAGAAAAUGGUUCAUUUGUAUUUGUUUUGGUGAAGUGGGGAAGUUCUCAUUUGCAGGAACUAGUCAGAGAGAGAGAGAGAGAGAGAGAGAGAGAGAGAGAGAGAGAGAGAGAGAGAGAGAGAGAGAAGGGGGUGUCCAGCGAGUGGCAGAUAAAGAGGAGGCUGAGAGAGAGGUAGAAACUGAAGGAUAAGAAGGAAGAGGAUACUUAGAAAGAGAAAAAAAGAAUUAAUUGCAAAUUGUAAAAAUAAAAGAUGUAAAAAAGAGAAAAAUCUAGUAAUGGUUUGAAAUUAACUAAAAUCAUAUAGAAUAAGUACUUUAGAAAAGAUUUAGUUCGAAAAACAAAAAGUACGAUAAUUUUGCGAAUCUUAGAAAGAAAGCAAGAAGCAAGUGAAGAAUAUGAAAAUAAACACGAUAAUAAACUAUGUAUUUGGAAAAGUCGCUGGCAGGUACUACUUUGGGCACUGAGAAAGUCUUGAAUCUACACAGAACUUGCAGAACAUUCGUGAACCAAUAUCUUGUGCCUUAGAUCAUAAGCAACACGAAUUAUCCAGGAUUUUAUUCACAGAGGCUUCGGUGUCUUAUCUUGCCUUCUUGAACAAGGCUGUAGUAAAAGGUAAUGGUGUUCUCGAGAGUCUCCUCGAUUCCACUGAUUGUUUAAGAGGUUCCGGUGAAAUUACUGGGUUUUAAGACCGUGAUCAUGGUUCAAGUGAUAGUGUAAGAGGUUCAAGAGUUUUCUUGGCGUUUUUAAAGAUAUUUUCAUGAUUGAAGAGACAGUUUAACAUAAUCCACUGAAAGCUAUCAUGUUUUCAAUAAUGUGCUCAUGAUUUAAGUGAUAAUUCAAUAUGUAGCAUUGAAACCUAUUGUGUUCUUUCAUGAUAAUUUGAUGAUUAUUUUAUUUUCAGCAUGUUUUAGUAGAAAUCAUUGAGUUCCAAGGUUUUUGUAAUGUGUUUUAUUAAUAGUAAUAGUAAUAGUGGAAGAUAUUGGAAUUUUAAAGUGUAUUUUCACGAUUCUAGUAGUAGCUAGUGAAGUGGAAGUUACAGGCGUUGUCAGGAGUGUGGCGACAGGUGCAAGUUAUACAGUGUAGUGUUGCCUGUGAGCUGAUAAUUGUGACGGUAUAAGAAUCAUCACUACCUUGUACCCUGUUACUCUCUCACCAUUUACGCCUUUUUAACUAAUAAUGAGUGACUUUUCUGUACCUUGAAGUCAUCUUUAGUAGUAAAUGGAUUGAUCUGUAUGUAGGCAAGAGAGAAUAGAUAAAAUAUUUUAAAAAAGGUCAGACGUGAUUGUUGCCUUAAUUAGUAGAAGUAUGUAAGUAAAGUGGUAAUAUUAUACACUUAUAGAAUGUACUUAAGCCUUUUAGCUGUCAGUGUACAAAAAUUAUAGAGAUCAGAAGACAAUUGCAGAUGUUAUUAAUUCUAAUCCUAUCUAGUGUAAGGUAUAAAAAUUAGUAAUGGUAAUACAUUCAAAAGUGAAUCUCGUGACAUCUCGUUACAAUGAGACAAACUAUUGUAUUUUGAUUUACCAGUUUAUUUGUGUUAAUGUUAAAAUAUUAUAUGAACGAGGAACAACAACAACAAUAACUACUACUACUAGUCUCUCUCUCUCUCUCUCUCUCUGAUAUUUGGAAAACAUGUAUAUAAACAAAACAGGUGAUAGUGUUAAAUAAACCCGUUGUUUCUUACAUUAAGCGUGUAGCGUGCACCUCCAUUGUUCUGUCUUACGAAGGGCUCAAUAUCAGAAUACCUAAGCCACCCAUAAAACACCUUGCUGAUGCUCUUGUGUAAGAAAACGAACUAUUGUAUGGCUAUCUAACCUAUAUUUGCAUUUUUUAUCAUUGAAGUCGUAGUUGUUAUGCUAUAAUGUUGUGUGAGGUUUCCCAGGGAGUAAUUUGCCUUAGUUUUUCUUUUCUUAUAUCUACUAAAAGCUAUCGAGUUUUCGGUCUGGGUUUGAGUGUGUUUGUGUGUUAUAUCAAGGGUGUACUCUGUGGUAGUGCAUGUAUGUGAUGUGGCAAUGCUGGAUGGGCAAGCAUGGAGUCGACAUCUUUCUAGGGCUUAUUUGUUAUUAAAGUCUACGCGUAUUCAGAGAAGUCAGUCUAAGUUUGUGGAUUAAAAGCUUGGUAGAAGAAUUGGUACCUGAAAAAAAACCUGGAAUAAUAAACUGAGGUAGAUAUUUGAA
This is an RNA transcript of Portunus trituberculatus (swimming crab), 5196 nucleotides long. It is a transcript of the gene named hemicentin-1-like, with no coding region annotated. Lineage: Eukaryota; Metazoa; Arthropoda; Malacostraca; Decapoda; Portunidae. The record is from RefSeq and is a predicted model, not a curated record. The transcript is spliced from 16 exons.